AGUGAAUAGAUACCCUGGUAGUCCACACUGUAAACGAUGAUUACUAGAUUUGGCCGCAAAGGUCAGAGUCCAAAGCGAAAAAGUGUUUAGUAAUCCACCUGGGGAGUACGUCCGCAAGGAUGAAACUCAAAGGAAUUGACGGGGCCCGCACAAGCGGUGGAGCAUGUGGUUAAAUUCGAUGAUAACGCGAGGAACCGUUACCUGGGCUUGAAAGUUAGUGACCGCUCCUGAAAGGGAGCUUCCCGCAAGGGCACGAAACUAGGUUGCUGCAUGGCUGUCGUCAGCUCGUGCCGUGAGGUGUCGGAUUAAGUUCCAUAACGAAGCGCAACCCUAUCUCUAGUUGCCAGCGGGUAAUGCCGGGGACGUCUAGAGAAACUGCCCGUGUAAGCGGUGAGGAAGUGGGGAUGACGUCAAGUCAUCACGG
Molecule: ribosomal RNA, 424 nt
Filed under: uncultured bacterium
Lineage: Bacteria
Description: bacterial SSU rRNA
Rfam family: Bacterial small subunit ribosomal RNA
Source: RNAcentral